AUUGAACGCUGGCGGCAGGCUUAACACAUGCAAGUCGAGCGGAGAUGAGGUGCUUGCACCUUAUCUUAGCGGCGGACGGGUGAGUAAUGCUUAGGAAUCUGCCUAUUAGUGGGGGACAACAUUCCGAAAGGAAUGCUAAUACCGCAUACGCCCUACGGGGGAAAGCAGGGGAUCUUCGGACCUUGCGCUAAUAGAUGAGCCUAAGUCGGAUUAGCUAGUUGGUGGGGUAAAGGCCUACCAAGGCGACGAUCUGUAGCGGGUCUGAGAGGAUGCUCCGCCAGACUGGCACUGAGACACGGCCCAGACUCCUACGGGAGGCAGCAGUGGGGAAUAUUGGACAAUGGGCGGAAGCCUGAUCCAGCCAUGCCGCGUGUGUGAAGAAGGCCUUUUGGUUGUAAAGCACUUUAAGCGAGGAGGAGGCUACCUGGAUUAAUACUCUAGGAUAGUGGACGUUACUCGCAGAAUAAGUACCGGCUAACUCUGUGCCAGCCGCCGCGGUAA
RNAcentral lists this ribosomal RNA (501 nucleotides) under uncultured bacterium. RNAcentral describes it as "partial 16S ribosomal RNA". It matches the Rfam family "Bacterial small subunit ribosomal RNA", at positions 30 to 523 of the family's 1533-position model. The record is from RNAcentral.